This is a regulatory RNA element of 121 nucleotides. It matches the Rfam family "FMN riboswitch aptamer (RFN element)". From Rfam's summary of the family: The RFN element is a highly conserved domain that is found frequently in the 5'-untranslated regions of prokaryotic mRNAs that encode for flavin mononucleotide (FMN) biosynthesis and transport proteins. The record is from Rfam.
GUUUAUCUUCAGGGCAGGGUUAGAUUCCCGACCGGCGGUUACAGCCCGCUACCUAUCGUUUGAUAGUUGAUUUGGUGAAAUUCCAAAGCCGACAGUACAGUCUGGUAUAAAGAAGAUCUCU